GCCGACAUAUCCUCCACCUUUCCACCAUAUAAGCACACCCUCUGUACAUGGUUUUCAUCGCAAUUUCACUCUAAACGUCAUCGUCCAAUUGCAGUUUCUUCGAUGGCUUCAAAGGGACAGCGAAAGCUCACAUACGAGGGAAGUCCGUCUGGUGUUGCAAGUGGUGGACAUGCCGACAAGGUGAAGGGCGAUCGAACACGCCGUUCAUGGAGUAAACGUGAGGAGGAGGCUUUGUUGGUCGCGCUUCAUGAUCUAGUCGCCGGUGGAUGGAAAUCUGAUAAUGGCUUCCGCAAUGGUUACGCCACUAGGGUGUACCAGGUCAUGAAGCGCGAGAUCCCUGACACAGAGUUAAAGGUGAGUCCACACAUUAACUCGAAGAUCACAAUGUGGAAGCGUGAGUACGGCGCUCUGUCUACCAUACUUGAUCGCAGCGGAGUCGGGUUCAACUCGAACAACGACUACAAGAUUGAAUGCAACAAUGAGCAAUGGGCACAAAUUGUGAAGGCCGACAGCAAUGCAAAAACAAUGCGCAACAAGUCGUGGCCAUACUAGGAGGAUUGGAAGUCCAUAUUCGGGAAGGAUCGAGGCAACGGGGUGCGGGCAGAGGAUUUGACCCAGACUGAUGAGCUGCUGAACGGGAAUGACACAUCCGUGGCUGACGAGUCACAGCCAUACAUGGCUCCUUACACCGUUGACGACUUCUUCACAGAUCGAUGAGGCCCUCAACUUUGAAGCUAUAACUGAUGUGCUCCCAACGGACACCGACACCAAAAGCUUCAAGAGCCCAAGCUUUGCCAAGAAGAACAAUCGCAAGAGGAAGCCGGAGGAUGUUUUCGAGUCUAUGUUGGAUGUGAUGACGAAGAUACAUGAGGAUACUAGUGACCGCCUUCGGACUUUAUCCUCUCGCAUCGACUACGACUUCGAUUUAAGUACAAAGUGAGUCGAGAGCAAGGUGCUUGACGAUAUCCCUCUCCUAUCGCAGAAGCACAGGUUUAUGGCGCUAGACAUUCUCGUGAAUGAGCCAGAACGUUUGGACCUAUUUAUCGGUUUCUCAAUCACUGACAGCAUCAAUCCAUCCAGCCAUGGCAGGAGAAGCUCGCGACUUUAUCAAGUGAUAUACCUUGUCUCUUACUUCAUUUGAGCGACUAGGGUGUUUGUUUUUUUCUGAUUUUUUUUCAUGGGCAUUUAGUUCUUGCAAUGCGAUCAAUGGGGUUCCUGUGCUGCCACCCCCAUUUGUGUCCACAUUCCACGGCCCCAUCAACCGAACACGAAUGCCACUGCCAGCAUCAUGAGUCUCUGUGUAUGGCGUCAUCCUCCCAAUCUUCUGUCGAGUAGCCCUUCCGAACCAAGCUCAUUGGUUCGUCGACUUGUGUUUGGAGGGAAUCACAUGGUGUUUCGGCCGAGGGUGAGAAAGUUUUGUACUACAUGUCGACUUCCAACCGGGUGACGAGUUGAUGUUCGCCUAUCAAAGCGAUGGACUAUUCAUUGUCAUCCUCAUCGCGUACGGACCUCAACUAAUGUUUUUUGACGAUCAGAUUGUCGCAAAUGUAGAAGUCGAAGGAAUCGACGCCCUUGCGUACAUGCAACAACUCUUUGCACAGAAGGAUGCAGCCGCAGCUGCGAUGGCAGCGGCCGCCAACAUGCCCCACCCUGCAGCCGAGGUCUUUGACAUAGUGGAAGAUGCAGAGGUAAUGGUAGAUGGCGACGAACCUCAAACGGCAGAAGAAGGCGAUGGCCAGCCCCUGAUAGAGGUCGAUGCACACAAUUUGCCACCGGUUGAAGAAAUUGAAGUUGCUGCAGAAUUGCACAUCCCAAUCCUCGACACACAUGUCGGUGAGACACAUAUCGGUCGAGAGCUCCAGUGUUGGCCUUAACCUCAGGACAUUAAUAAACUUUUCGCGGAAUGGGAUGCUGCCGCAGCAGAGGUUGCCGCCGCGACCCAUGCCGUUUUACCCGAAGGGCCAGUCGAAGUCAACAACGGCGAGGGUAAUGCUGCAGCAGUUGAGGCUGUUGAACAGCCCCAUGUUGAGCUGGUGGAUCCCGCACCACCGGCGGAGGAACUCCCUGGCGCAGAUGACGACAUGCCACCUCCCGUGGUAGAGACAGAAGUUGGCCAAGGCUCCGCCCCAGCCCCGGACCUCGAUUUGAAGUUAGGUGCUACAUCGUGGAAAAGGGUGACGUAUUCGAAGACCGUCGGUCCAAUGUUCAUAAAGAAAAUUGAACGUACCCCCCUGUCCUUGGCCCUCUCAAUCCCAAAAUCCUUUUGGGAAACAUACAUUCGCAAGCCCCCGGGUGCUUACGAAUUCACUUUCCAGAUGGGUCGCAAUUCUUGGGAUGUGGUUAUCAAAGUCAACAAGUCGCGGGUUCGGGUGACAAACGGUUUCUCCGCCUUUGUGAAAGCAAAUGACAUUGGGGUUGGGACUAUCCUAAAGUUCGAGUUGGUUAAGGCCCGUAGGACUGUUUUCAUCGUGAGUGUGCAGACUUAAGGACGGACCUUCUCGUCAUGCAGCCUUGAUUGUCCACAAAGGCGGGGCAUCAUGCGUGUAGGGGGAUCGGGGGGUUUGUUGUUUGUUCAUGUGUUUGCAUCUUGUUUGUGCAUGGUUAAUUUGUGUAGCUAAGUUGUGUAUGGGUAUUGUCUAAGAGGUAGUAGAUGGAUAUGUUAGUGGCUUCAAAAUAUGCACAUUUGUAUGGUCGUUGUUCCCGCCAGUGUAUGUGUUAAUCGUG
Salvia splendens (bonfire salvia) is the source of this 2724-nucleotide RNA transcript. RefSeq lists it as uncharacterized. The record is from RefSeq and is a predicted model, not a curated record. NCBI's taxonomy places the organism in Eukaryota, Viridiplantae, Streptophyta, Magnoliopsida, Lamiales, Lamiaceae. The transcript has 7 exons.